CGUCAAAGCUUAAUUAUAGAGCCCAAGGAAAUCCCCCAAAUUAACUAAAACCCCACCCCAAUACUGAAUAAUUCCAUAUUUUUAUGGAAAAUAUUAUGUUAAAACUAGUAACAUGGAGUAAAACCUUCUCUUAAAUGUAGAUAUAAGUCAAAAUGGAACGCACACCGACAACUAACAGCUUAAAUUAAAGUAAUAAACUACUCAAGAAAACCCUACUGAUCCAUCUGUUAACCUAACACAAGAACAUUUAAAGAAAGACUUAAAGAAAAAGAAGGAACUCGGCAAAACUGAUUCCGCCUGUUUACCAAAAACAUCGCCUCCUGAAUCAGACUAUAGGAGGUCCAGCCUGCCCAGUGACCCUGUUUAACGGCCGCGGUACCCUAACCGUGCGAAGGUAGCGUAAUCACCUGUUUUUUAAUUAAAGACCUGUAUGAAAGGCAUCACGAGAAUCAUACUGUCUCCUUUUUUAAGUCAGUGAAAUUAAUCUCCCCGUGAAAAAGCGGGGAUAACACUACAAGACGAGAAGACCCUUUGGAGCUUAAGACAAAAUAAAUACUUGCUCCACCACACCACACAGCAUAUUAUUUAUAAGUCUUGGGUUGGGGCAACCACGGAGUAAAAACAAACCUCCGAGCUGAACGGAAAUUUCCUAAACAAAAAGCAACAACUUGAUGUAUCAGCAAACUGACACAAUUUGACCCAAAAAUUUGAUUAACGAACCAAGUUACCCAAGGGAUAACAGCGCAAUCCACUUAAAGAGUCCAUAUCGAGAAGUGGGCUUACGACCUCG
RNAcentral lists this ribosomal RNA (790 nucleotides) under Eleutherodactylus pezopetrus (Miranda robber frog). RNAcentral's name for it is "partial 16S ribosomal RNA". It matches the Rfam family "Bacterial large subunit ribosomal RNA", at positions 1586 to 2528 of the family's 2925-position model. Lineage: Eukaryota; Metazoa; Chordata; Amphibia; Anura; Eleutherodactylidae. The record is from RNAcentral.